RNAcentral lists this ribosomal RNA (460 nucleotides) under uncultured bacterium. RNAcentral describes it as "partial 16S ribosomal RNA". It matches the Rfam family "Bacterial small subunit ribosomal RNA", at positions 338 to 795 of the family's 1533-position model. The record is from RNAcentral.
ACUACGGGAGGCUGCAGUGAGGAAUAUUGGUCAAUGGACGAGAGUCUGAACCAGCCAAGUAGCGUGAAGGAUGACUGCCCUAUGGGUUGUAAACUUCUUUUAUAUGGGAAUAAAACGUUCCACGUGUGGCAUUUUGUAUGUACCAUAUGAAUAAGGAUCAGCUAACUCCGUGCCAGCAGCCGCCGUAAUACGGAGGCUCCCAGCGUUAUCCGGAGUUAGUGUGUUUAAAGGUAGCGUAGGUGGAUGGUUAAUGCGGUUGUGAAAGUUUGGGGCUCAAACGUAAAAUUGCAGUUGAGACUGGCAGUCUGGAGUACAGUAGGGGUAGGCGGAAUUCGUGGUGUAGCGGUGAAAUGCGUAGAUAGCACGAAGAACUCCGAUUGCGAAGGCAGUUCACUGGACUGCAACUGACACUGAGGCUCGAAAGUGUGGGGAUCAAACAGGAUUAGAUACCCUUGUAGUC